AGAGCGAACGCUGGCGGCAGGCCUAACACAUGCAAGUCGAGCGCCCCGCAAGGGGAGCGGCAGACGGGAGAGUAACACGUGGGAACGUACCCUUUGGUUCGGAACAACACAGGGAAACUUGUGCUAAUACCUGAUAAGCCCUUACGGGGAAAGAUUUAUUGCCAAAGGAUCGGCCCGCGUCUGAUUAGCUUGUUGGUGAGGUAACGGCUCACCAAGGCUACGAUCAGUAGCUGGUCUGAGAGGAUGAUCAGCCUCACUGGGACUGAGACACGGCCCAGACUCCUACGGGAGGCAGCAGUGGGGAAUAUUGGACAAUGGGCGCAAGCCUGAUCCAGCCAUGCCGCGUGGAUGAUGAAGGCCCUAGGGGUUGUAAAGUCCUUUCGACGGGGAAGAUAAUGACGGUACCCGUAGAAGAAGCCCGGCUAACUUCGUGCCAGCAGCCGC
RNAcentral lists this ribosomal RNA (444 nucleotides) under uncultured bacterium. Its description in RNAcentral is "SSU rRNA". It matches the Rfam family "Bacterial small subunit ribosomal RNA", at positions 26 to 518 of the family's 1533-position model. The record is from RNAcentral.